This 254-nucleotide ribosomal RNA is filed under the name uncultured bacterium. RNAcentral's name for it is "partial 16S ribosomal RNA". It matches the Rfam family "Bacterial small subunit ribosomal RNA", at positions 524 to 776 of the family's 1533-position model. The record is from RNAcentral.
UACGUAGGGGCCAAGCGUUGUCCGGAUUUAUUGGGCGUAAAGAGCUCGUAGGUGGUUCGGCAAGUCAGUUGUGAAAUCUCCGCGCUCAACGCGGAGGGGUCAGCUGAAACUGCUGUGACUUGAGUCUGGUAGGGGAGUGUGGAAUUCCGGGUGUAGCGGUGGAAUGCGUAGAUAUCCGGAAGAACACCUGAGGCGAAGGCGGCUUGCUGGGCAUGAUCUGACGCUGAGGCGCGAAAGCGUGGGGAGCAAACAGG